RNAcentral lists this ribosomal RNA (497 nucleotides) under uncultured bacterium. RNAcentral's name for it is "partial 16S ribosomal RNA". It matches the Rfam family "Bacterial small subunit ribosomal RNA", at positions 28 to 507 of the family's 1533-position model. The record is from RNAcentral.
GAUGAACGCUGGCGGCGUGCCUAAUACAUGCAAGUCGAGCGGACGGACGAGAAGCUUGCUUCUCUGAUGUUAGCGGCGGACGGGUGAGUAACACGUGGAUCACCUACUUAUAAGUCUGGGAUAACUUCGGGAAACAGGAGCUAAUACCGGCUGAUAUUUUGAACCGCAUGGUUCAAAAGUUCAAGACGGUCUUGCUGUCACUUAUAGAUGGAUCCGCGCUGCAUUAGCUAGUUGGUAAGGUAAAGGCUUACCAAGGCAACGAUGCAUAGCCGACCUGAGAGGGUGAUCAGCCACACUGGAACUGAGACACGGUCCAGACUCCUACGGGAGGCAGCAGUGGGGAAUCUUCGGCAAUGGGCGAAAGCCUGACGGAGCAACGCCGCGUGAGUGAAGAAGGUCUUCGGGUUGUAAAACUCUGUUAUUAGGGAAGAACAUAUGUGUGAGUAUAUCCGCACAUCUUGACGGUACCUAAUCAGAAAGCCACGGCUAACUACGUG